GUGCCAGCAGCCGCGGUAAGACAGAGUGUGCAAACGUUGUUCGGAAUUACUGGGCAUAAAUAGCACGUAGGUGGUGCGCUAAGUCACGUGUGAAAUCCCCCGGCUUAACCGGGGAAUGGCGCGUGAUACUGGCGGACUUGAGGCAGGUAGGGGUGAGCGGAACUCCAGGUGGAGCGGUGAAAUGCGUAGAUAUCUGGAGGAACACCGGUGGCGAAAGCGGCUCACUGGACCUGAUCUGACACUGAGGUGCGAAAGCUAGGGUAGCAAACGGGAUUAGAAACCCGCGUAGUCC
This 292-nucleotide ribosomal RNA is filed under the name uncultured bacterium. RNAcentral describes it as "partial 16S ribosomal RNA". It matches the Rfam family "Bacterial small subunit ribosomal RNA", at positions 505 to 796 of the family's 1533-position model. The record is from RNAcentral.